RNAcentral lists this non-coding RNA (22 nucleotides) under Arabidopsis thaliana (thale cress). Lineage: Eukaryota; Viridiplantae; Streptophyta; Magnoliopsida; Brassicales; Brassicaceae. The record is from RNAcentral.
ACGGUUGUGUCUUUUUAAUGCA